AACGCUUUCCGGGGCGGGGCCGGGGGGGGGGGCGGGAGCGCAGCUCUGCUCCCAGCCUCCUCUCCUCCCUCACGUGGUCUGGUGACCAGUCACAUGCCCGCCCGCCUGCCUGGGGGAGAAGUUGGUGAGUGGGCGCACCUCCACUAGGCUCCCAGCACAGCUGUGCCUCCGGCAGUACAGACUGCCCACUUGUGUGGGUUCGGAUCGCACAGCGUGGAGCCAAUCCCACCAGGCUGGGCGAGCAUGCCCGGAGAGUUAGCCAAGUCAGGGCCUGGGAGGAAUUCUGCCCUGACUCUGCAAGAGCCAAGGAGACCAAGCGGACGAGAGAAGAUUCAGCUUCGGGUCGCAGAGGCAGAAUUGUGCUGUGGCAAGUGGUGGGACAAGGCCUUAAUUACAGGGACCUUUGUCCAACUGACACGCUGAAAAUUGGCCCCGGGGAUGAUUCAGCAGCAAUCACUUCCAGAGAAAAACCCUAUCUGGGAUGACGUCAUCUCACGCCACACCCACCGUUCCUGCUCGCCUCUCCUCUCCAGAAGCCCAGUCCCAUCUGUGGAGCUCCGAGUUGCCAUCUGCAUUGUGACAAAUAUGCAUUUUAUUACUGAAAUAGCAUUCCUGCGCCCAACGGUGCCCUCAGCACUCCACAUUUAAUAGCACUUAGAAAAGGAAGAAAUCCCAGCCCCGGGGAUGACCAAGGGCAUACAUACCGCGAGCUCUGUCUGCCGUGUCCUGUAUCCGGAGCUGGAUAUUUUAUCUCUGCACACCACGAAUAUUUAGACUCUGAGGCAAAGAGAUUGGUUUAACUUGAUCACUGGAAAUCCAGGCACAUGGCGAGUGUGGCUAUGCAGGAAGCUUACAGAGUAUGGAGAAAAAAGUGCCCAAGACGGACCGGGCAUCUGUGCAGGGCCUGGAUUGAAGACCCCAAUUCACCAGCCACCCCCUUUUCCCUGACCAAUAAUACCAGGCAAGUGCUUGUGAGAGGCACCCUUAUCUUCAUCUACUAAUUUUGGUUUUCCUUGCUACUUCAGGAGAGAGCCAUUUUAUUUCUGUCAUCUAAUUUUGAAGAGCAGUGG
Molecule: long non-coding RNA, 1070 nt
Filed under: Cricetulus griseus (Chinese hamster)
Lineage: Eukaryota; Metazoa; Chordata; Mammalia; Rodentia; Cricetidae
Description: lncRNA (ENSCGRG00015033036.1)
Source: RNAcentral